GACGAACGCUGGCGGCGUGCUUAACACAUGCAAGUCGAACGGAAGGGCCCUGCUUUUGUGGGGUGCUCGAGUGGCGAACGGGUGAGUAACACGUGAGUAACCUGCCCUUGACUUUGGGAUAACUUCAGGAAACUGGGGCUAAUACCGGAUAGGAGCUCCUGCUGCAUGGUGGGGGUUGGAAAGUUUCGGCGGUUGGGGAUGGACUCGCGGCUUAUCAGUUUGUUGGUGGGGUAGUGGCUUACCAAGGCUUUGACGGGUAGCCGGCCUGAGAGGGUGACCGGCCACAUUGGGACUGAGAUACGGCCCAGACUCCUACGGGAGGCAGCAGUGGGGAAUAUUGCACAAUGGGCGGAAGCCUGAUGCAGCAACGCCGCGUGCGGGAUGACGGCCUUCGGGUUGUAAACCGCUUUCGCCUGUGACGAAGCGUGAGUGACGGUAAUGGGUAAAGAAGCACCGGCUAACUACGU
This 467-nucleotide ribosomal RNA is filed under the name uncultured bacterium. Its description in RNAcentral is "partial 16S ribosomal RNA". It matches the Rfam family "Bacterial small subunit ribosomal RNA", at positions 28 to 506 of the family's 1533-position model. The record is from RNAcentral.